This is a long non-coding RNA of Scylla paramamosain (green mud crab), 439 nucleotides long. RefSeq lists it as uncharacterized. The record is from RefSeq and is a predicted model, not a curated record. The transcript is spliced from 2 exons. NCBI's taxonomy places the organism in Eukaryota, Metazoa, Arthropoda, Malacostraca, Decapoda, Portunidae.
GCGGAGACGGACGUUGCUAGAAUAUCUCCCUGUUAAGUCCGUGUUUCUCUUUUUUCUCUUUUUUUCUGUGUUUGCGUGUGUGUGUGCCCACGUCAAUGAACUGACCAUUAGGAUAACCACACAGCAUAGUUCCCCCGGUGCUAUGAAGGCGUGGACUCCCAUUUGAAACGUGAAAAGUGAAAAAUAACGUGGCCUUUGACUCGCGACUGGAAGAGUGACUGUUGCUGUGCCCCGCCCACCUGCUGCUGCUGCUGUGGUGCCAGUGUGCGGUGCCUGUGGAGUGUGGUGCAUGGUGGAGGCGCAGAGCGAGGGAGGGGCGCGGCGCUGCUCUCCCAUGCAUAGUUACUCUCUCUCUCUCUCUCUCUCUCUCUCUCUCUCUCUCUCUCUCUCUCUCUCUCUCUCUCUCUCUCUCUCUCUCUCUCUCUCUCUCUCUCUCUCU